GACGAAGGUGGCUAGCGUUGCUCGGAAUUACUGGGCCUAAAGCGCGCGUAGGUGGUCCUGUAAGCGGGGGAUGAAAGCCCAUGGCUCACCCAUGGAACUGUCCUUCGGACUGCAGGGCUGGAGGGCGGGAGGGGAGAAUGGAAUUCCCGAUGUAGCGGUGAAAUGCGUAGAUAUCAGGAAGAACACCUAUGGCGAAGGCAGCUCUCUGGGACGGUACUGACGCUGAGACGCGAAAGCGUGGGGAGCGAACAGG
This 253-nucleotide ribosomal RNA is filed under the name uncultured bacterium. RNAcentral's name for it is "partial 16S ribosomal RNA". It matches the Rfam family "Bacterial small subunit ribosomal RNA", at positions 524 to 776 of the family's 1533-position model. The record is from RNAcentral.